GUCUCUGUGGUGCAAUAGGUCUUGUGCAUUUGGCUGUUAACUGAAAGGUCGGUGGUUUGAGCCCACCUAGGGAUG
This 75-nucleotide transfer RNA is filed under the name Albula goreensis. It matches the Rfam family "tRNA". Rfam says of the family: Transfer RNA (tRNA) molecules are approximately 80 nucleotides in length. Their secondary structure includes four short double-helical elements and three loops (D, anti-codon, and T loops). Further hydrogen bonds mediate the characteristic L-shaped molecular structure. tRNAs have two regions of fundamental functional importance: the anti-codon, which is responsible for specific mRNA codon recognition, and the 3' end, to which the tRNAs corresponding amino acid is attached (by aminoacyl-tRNA synthetases). tRNAs cope with the degeneracy of the genetic code in two manners: having more than one tRNA (with a specific anti-codon) for a particular amino acid; and 'wobble' base-pairing, i.e. permitting non-standard base-pairing at the 3rd anti-codon position. The record is from Rfam by way of RNAcentral. Lineage: Eukaryota; Metazoa; Chordata; Actinopteri; Albuliformes; Albulidae.